UAGAUUGAAGCCAGAUGUUGGGCAUUUAGCUGUUAACUAAAGUCUCGUAGGUUGAAAUCCUAUCAGUCUAG
RNAcentral lists this transfer RNA (71 nucleotides) under Tscherskia triton (greater long-tailed hamster). Its description in RNAcentral is "tRNA-Asn". It matches the Rfam family "tRNA". Rfam says of the family: Transfer RNA (tRNA) molecules are approximately 80 nucleotides in length. Their secondary structure includes four short double-helical elements and three loops (D, anti-codon, and T loops). Further hydrogen bonds mediate the characteristic L-shaped molecular structure. tRNAs have two regions of fundamental functional importance: the anti-codon, which is responsible for specific mRNA codon recognition, and the 3' end, to which the tRNAs corresponding amino acid is attached (by aminoacyl-tRNA synthetases). tRNAs cope with the degeneracy of the genetic code in two manners: having more than one tRNA (with a specific anti-codon) for a particular amino acid; and 'wobble' base-pairing, i.e. permitting non-standard base-pairing at the 3rd anti-codon position. Lineage: Eukaryota; Metazoa; Chordata; Mammalia; Rodentia; Cricetidae. The record is from RNAcentral.